RNAcentral lists this ribosomal RNA (441 nucleotides) under uncultured Leptolinea sp. RNAcentral describes it as "bacterial SSU rRNA". It matches the Rfam family "Bacterial small subunit ribosomal RNA", at positions 924 to 1382 of the family's 1533-position model. The record is from RNAcentral. Lineage: Bacteria; Bacillati; Chloroflexota; Anaerolineae; Anaerolineales; Anaerolineaceae.
CACAAGCAGCGGAGCGUGUGUUAUUCGAUGUUACACGAAGAACCUUACAGGGUUUGACAUGCAAGUGGUAGGAAGCCGAAAGGUGACCGACCCUUCGGGGAGCUUGCACAGGUGCUGCAUGGCUGUCGUCAGCUCGUGUCGUGAGAUGUUCGGUUAAGUCCGCUAACGAGCGCAACCCUCGCUGUGUGUUAUAUGUGUCACACGGGACUGCCGGUCUUAAGCCGGAGGAAGGUGGGGAUGAUGUCAAGUCAGCAUGGCCUUUAUAUCCUGGGCUACACACACGCUACAAUGGCCAACACAAUAGGUUGCUAAGCCGCGAGGUGGCGCCAAUCCAUAAAGUUGGUCUCAGUUCAGAUUGUAGGCUGCAACCCGCCUGCAUGAAGAUGGAGUUGCUAGUAACCGCAGGUCAGCUAUACUGCGGUGAAUACGUUCCCGGGGCUU